RNAcentral lists this long non-coding RNA (231 nucleotides) under Ananas comosus (pineapple). RNAcentral's name for it is "long non-coding RNA (ACOM_LNC023945)". The record is from RNAcentral. Lineage: Eukaryota; Viridiplantae; Streptophyta; Magnoliopsida; Poales; Bromeliaceae.
CUUAUACAUCUUGGUUCCACCAGGGUGAACCGUAUAAGGUGAAUAAUGAGCCUCUUUCAAAAUCUCUUCUCAGAUCUCUAAAUCCAUGGCACACACAGUCGGUCUCUGUACCGCAGUACUCCCGAACUGUCCAUAACAAAACUCUCUGCCUGUCCCCUCUCCAACUGCUCUCUAAUCCUCAACAAAUGCGGGUCUCCACUCUGUUUCUCUCGCAUCCUAUCCAACAGAGUG